UGACCUCAAAUGCAGGUAGGACUACCCGCUGAACUUAAGCAUAUCAAUAAGCGGAGGA
RNAcentral lists this ribosomal RNA (58 nucleotides) under uncultured Termitomyces. Its description in RNAcentral is "partial 28S ribosomal RNA". Lineage: Eukaryota; Fungi; Basidiomycota; Agaricomycetes; Agaricales; Lyophyllaceae. The record is from RNAcentral.